Long non-coding RNA from Carassius auratus (goldfish), 1320 nucleotides. RefSeq lists it as uncharacterized. The transcript has 3 exons. NCBI's taxonomy places the organism in Eukaryota, Metazoa, Chordata, Actinopteri, Cypriniformes, Cyprinidae. The record is from RefSeq and is a predicted model, not a curated record.
GCUCGAGACAAAAGCUGGGGUAGAAUUCCUUCUCUACAUAUGAAAAAAACAUGGAGGCGGGGCAGCGCUUGACUAUCAAGGAAACGAAGUGCAGAAAGAAACUGCUGAAGUGAAUGGUGUAAUCAUCUCUGUUUGACUUCAAUGGAAGACAUGUCUGAAAACAACAUAAAGCCAGCUGCGUUCAACUGCGGUCUCUGAAGGCCAUGGUGUUGACAUGUCCUGCUCUGGAUCGCAGGCAACCUUAACAAUGCAACGAGCGGCACUGUGGAUCUGAGCAUAUCUGGCACAGACACGGUGGAAGGGAGGAGGAGGAACACAAAGAAGGAAAAAAAAAAAAAGAAACACGACGGCAGGCGACCAGUGGACGGGCCGGAAACUUGGGAUUUUCCAGCAGAAGUGAAUGCAAAGUGUAGAUUGGGCGGGUUUGUUUUAGCUGACGCCAGGAAAAGCUGCAGCCAAAGAGUGACAAACUCAACGCUUAUGGUGACCCUGCCGCAUUCAUACAUAAGCAGAAAGAUCUGAGGGUGUGUGUGUGUGUGUGUGUACUGGGUGGGUGUGAGUUGUUGGUGUGGGAGUUAGUGGAGGGGGAUUCCUCUGCCCAUGAAACAUUACUGUAGUCUGGCGCCAUGAUUGACCUAUGUCCUGCACAAGAGAGAAAAUUUUUCCCCACUGACUCCCUUUUUCUAGGAGCUGAAUGUUUAAGCAACCCCUGAACACACAGGAACACUCUCUCACUGUAAACUAUCACGAUUUUCAAAAGGGAAAAAAAAUCCUGGACUAAACAUAAGGAGCAGAAUUUCAUAAAGACUUGGAUGUGAAAUCGUAAGACUUUUCGAUGCCUUGCUCAAGGGCACCUAAGUCGUGGAAUUGCCGGCCCGAGAUUCGAACCCACAACCCUAGGGUUAGGAGUCAAACUCUCUAACCACUAGGCGACGACUUCCCCCAAACCACAUAGCAAUGUUCUGGCAAACACUCAGAACACAUAGCAAGACCCUGGCUAGUGGCAACCUCUCUGAACACAUAGCAACACUCUCGCAACAUGCCCUAGCAUAGCAGCAUUUAAACAGGAAAGCACCACUCAAGGUCCUGAAUGUAAUUCCGCUAGACAAAAAGCUUCAGGGCUGUUUCAUAUCAGCCUUAGGUUCACUGCAGUUAUAUAGAGCUGAACUGUGAUAUCAUUGUGUUACUAUGCACUUUUCCAAACUGAUAGCAAGCUAAAGCGAGAACUAACAAUAGGACCUCAGGGCUGGUCUUCCCUCCUUAGGGAUUUUUAAACUAAGCUGCAGAGGCCGUAAAGACUUGACAGAGCGCUGAUGAAUG